Molecule: ribosomal RNA, 507 nt
Filed under: uncultured Glomeraceae
Lineage: Eukaryota; Fungi; Glomeromycota; Glomeromycetes; Glomerales; Glomeraceae
Description: SSU rRNA
Rfam family: Eukaryotic small subunit ribosomal RNA
Source: RNAcentral
AGCAGCCGCGGUAAUUCCAGCUCCAAUAGCGUAUAUUAAAGUUGUUGCAGUUAAAAAGCUCGUAGUUGAAUUUCGGGAUCAAGGGAUCGGUCAUGCCUUGGUAUGUACUGGUUUCAUUGGUUCUCACCUUCUAAAGAACCAUGAUGUCAUUCAUUUGAUGUUAUGGGGAAUUAGGACUGUUACCUUGAAAAAAUUAGAGUGUUUAAAGCAAGCUUACGCUUGAAUACAUUAGCAUGGAAUAAUGAAAUAGGACGUUCGAUCCUAUUUUGUUGGUUUCUAGGAUUGACGUAAUGAUUAAUAGGGAUAGUUGGGGGCAUUAGUAUUCAAUUGUCAGAGGUGAAAUUCUUGGAUUUAUUGAAGACUAACUACUGCGAAAGCAUUUGCCAAGGAUGUUUUCAUUAAUCAAGAACGAAAGUUAGGGGAUCGAAGACGAUCAGAUACCGUCGUAGUCUUAACCAUAAACUAUGCCGACUAGGGAUCGGAUGAUGUUAAUUUUUUAAUGACUCA